GUGCUUGCUACGGCUGCACAUAUACUAAAAUUGGAUCGAUACAGAGAAGAUUAGCAUGGCCCCUGCGAAAGGAUGACACGCGAAUCCGUGAAGCGUUCCAUAUUUUG
Denticeps clupeoides (denticle herring) is the source of this 107-nucleotide small nuclear RNA. Lineage: Eukaryota; Metazoa; Chordata; Actinopteri; Clupeiformes; Denticipitidae. The record is from Ensembl.